UACGGGGGGGGCAAGCGUUGUUCGGAAUUAUUGGGCGUAAAGGGCGCGUAGGCGGUGCGGUAAGUCAUCUGUGAAAUCUCCCGGCUCAACUGGUAGCCUGCAGGCGAAACUGCCGUGCUGGAGUAUCGGAGAGGUGAGUGGAAUUCGCGGUGUAGCGGUGAAAUGCGUAGAUAUCGGGAGGAACACCUGUGGCGAAAGCGGCUCACUGGACGAUAACUGACGCUGAUGCGCGAAAGCUAGGGGAGCAAACCGG
Molecule: ribosomal RNA, 253 nt
Filed under: uncultured bacterium
Lineage: Bacteria
Description: partial 16S ribosomal RNA
Rfam family: Bacterial small subunit ribosomal RNA
Source: RNAcentral